Meriones unguiculatus (Mongolian gerbil) is the source of this 700-nucleotide long non-coding RNA. RefSeq lists it as uncharacterized. The record is from RefSeq and is a predicted model, not a curated record. NCBI's taxonomy places the organism in Eukaryota, Metazoa, Chordata, Mammalia, Rodentia, Muridae. The transcript is spliced from 3 exons.
CAAACACAUAAACUGGUCCGCUGCUGCACACCCGUGGAGGAAGGAUGCAGUUGAAUUCACUGGGACACAUCCACUGAGUGAGCACUGAGGAGAUGCAGGGGUCUGGGUCCUGGAUGUGGCUGGCCAGGCUUGUGUUCUCUGUGACUCAAUAGAUAGUUUAAGCUGAUCUAGAGAAGAAGUCACAAGUCGCCUUCCUGGGUAUUUUCAUCACUGAUACAAAGCAGCAGUGACAAAUCCGCUGCACCCAAGUCUCCUUGAUGGACGCUUAAGCUUGUACUUCCAGAGGCCAGUGGGUAAGAAGAGGUACGGUGGGUGGAGAAAACGCCAGCUGCUGCACCCCAGCCUUUGCCUUUGCUUCUCACUCUUGCUAGAUUGUCCGUGAGAACGGGUCUCAUCACAGGGCGGAAGCCAACCAAGUCGGUGUCUCUGGAAUGUCUUGACCGAGUCUGCCACCUGGUGGCUGUUUGGAAAAGCAGCCAGGUAAAUGAAAUAAAGACAAAUUAGGAAACCAGUGUGAAACAAGUAUGUUUGCAAACCAAGCAGCAGAGGGGUGGUCAGAAACUGAUAAAGGCCUCGACACGAAGGACGCUAAUGGCACGGAUUACACGUGCGGGAAUGUGAUGGCGCAAAGCUCCAACUGCUUCCAUUUAAGCUUACACUGCGAUACCCGAAAACUACGGCAAAAUUGGAAAAGAAGCCA